This 1975-nucleotide long non-coding RNA is filed under the name Salvia miltiorrhiza (redroot sage). Its description in RNAcentral is "long non-coding RNA (SMIL_LNC005142)". Lineage: Eukaryota; Viridiplantae; Streptophyta; Magnoliopsida; Lamiales; Lamiaceae. The record is from RNAcentral.
AUUACUUAUGUAUUAGUACUAAAAGAUGUAUUUUUAGUAGGAAAUUGGCAGUUUUGAAGUUGUGUUUUGUGAUUAGUUUGCACACCAAACAUAGAGGAGGCAGCUUAGGAACUUGUAGCAUUAUGAAAGGCUCAUUUUGCGUUGUUCAUACUUGUAUUGAUCUAUACACUCUUGCUUCAUAUGCAUUUACAUGAUCUCUGCAUGCGUGCUUUCGGUUCUUCCUUUGCUUGUUUAGGUUUGCUCGUUGUUUGCUCAUUGUUGGUCUUUCUACUUUUUGGUUUUGUUUCCUGGGUCGGAAAGGCGGGGUUUCUUUAGUUCGAUGGUUCGGCCGGAGUUCUAUCUUUUUUAAUAAAAUCGUAUUUUAAUAAUUUACAUGAUCUCUGCAUACUUUGGCUCUCAGUUGUGUAAAUUAGUGUAUUGUAAAUACAAUUUGAGAUGAGACGGUGUAGAAUGCUACUCCGAGGAUCCAACUAACUUCAUUUUCAGCUGAAUGAUGUUGAUUAAUAACUUAUGAUAUUGUACGGUAGUGAUUUGAUUUGAUUUGGCUGGUUUUUAAUAUUUGUUUCGGUUAUUAUUUUGCAAUAAGGAUAAGUUGGUAAUUGCCUUUUCAAAUCAUAUCCGUUACCUCAUAAAAUUAUAUCUAAUCAAAUCUGUUUAUGGAAACAUAUCUAUAAGAUUGGUCUGUUACAAAGAAACUCCAUUCACACAACAAAAAAGGGACGUGCUUCUUUAAUUUUUGAUUCAUAGUCUAUUGCUUCUUUAAUUUUAGGCAGCAGGGAUUACUCCUUCUGUGAAUUGUGCUCUUGGUCCUGGUGUUCUGUUGUGGUUGUGUUCUUGAUCUAGCCAAUUACAGCCUACUUAGAAAUUUGUGCUGUGCUAUUGCUUCUUGCAGAGGAAUGCUUAAAGAUGUUUUGAGGCUUGAGGUAUUGACUAGGCAAUUCAGAAGCUAGUAUUUCCUUGUAUUUUCAUGGGCUGGUGUUUACACUGGUUUGUUUGAUGUUACAUUUGGUGAAUCCGACAGAUGCAUUUUUUUUCAUGCAUCUAUAGGCCUGGAGGUUCCUUUCUGCAGCAAUCAUAUGAUUUUGAGCUUUAUUUUUAUCAGAUUGCAGUAUGCAUGAUGAUCAUAAAGGGUGCACUUCUGAUCUGAAUUUAUUGAUCACAUGUGCCUCAGAUUGCAUGUUUCUGUAGUGGAAAGUAAGGAUGAUAAAUUGCAAAUGUCUGGUCAUAUAGAUUAGCGAGUACGUGGCCUGAACUUUUUCAAGAUUUACCUCAGCUGUUAAUUCAUAAUGACAGCAUUAGAGGUUUUGAUUCAAAUAAUAAUCAAUGAAGGAGCCUUUAUGUAUGUUUUAUAGCAUAGUCUUGAAGUUGAAGGUAUUCCCCUACAGAAGUCAGGCAAAGCUUUCGAACUGUACACAAAUUUGAGCUAGUAAGUUGUUGCUGCUUUGAUGUUAUGUUUUUAAGCAGAAACUAUAAGUAUCAGUAUGGUGCCCUAAUACACAUUUACAUUUACAAAGGGUCUGUUAAGCAGACUUGCAUAGCAGAGCAGACUUGCAGUGCAGAGCAGACUCCCAGAGUCAGAGCAAAGCUGAAGUCCAGAGCAGAGCGAACUUUCAGAGCAGACUCUCAGAGUCAGAGCAGAGCUGAAGUCCAGAGCAGAGCGAACUUUCAGAGCAGAGCGGACUUUCCAGAUCUGAAUAAAGCACAGAGCAGAGCGGACUUUCCAGAGCAGAGUUGAGUUACAGAGCUGACUUAGUUCAGAACAGACUACGUUUCCAGACCUGGCGUAUUCCAGACCUGACGAGUAAAGAGCUGACUUUCUCGCUAGUUUUGUUUAAACGUGCUGAACAAGUUUUAGUUGUUUCCUUGUUUUCACGCUAUUUCCUUCAUUAGAUUAGUGUUUAGUAUGCCUAUAUAUAGGCUGAUUAUUGUUGGACGAAAUAGCUAAUUUUGAUAUAUGAAAUUGUGAGUUAAUCUC